UUUCCGUAGGUGAACCUGCGGAAGGAUCAUUAAUGAAAUGUUGAAAGGAGUCUGAUGCUGGCGUUUCGGCGCAUUGUGCUCGGCUCUGAUCCAUUCACACACACUGUGCACAUGCCUUUUUACCAACGCAUGAACCGUCAUACCAUUCUAUUCGAAUGUAAUACAACUUUCAACAACGGAUCUCUUGGCUCUCGCAUCGAUGAAGAACGCAGC
This 213-nucleotide unclassified non-coding RNA is filed under the name uncultured fungus. RNAcentral describes it as "sequence contains ITS1, 5.8S rRNA gene". The stretch from base 165 to 213 matches the Rfam family "5.8S ribosomal RNA", at positions 1 to 49 of the family's 154-position model. The record is from RNAcentral. Lineage: Eukaryota; Fungi.